ACUCCACCCUUCAGCCAGGUUGUUAGAUUAAACCUGGAGUCAACAUGUUGCUUUCUCUGCCUAUAUCAACCUUCUUUGACUUCUCUGGAUGACCUCUCCUUAAACAACAGAUCCCUGCUUUCCAAGCACCCCUCUAGACAGACCCUGGACAUCUGCUUCCUAAGGAUUUCACCAGGAAGCAGGACUGUGUGGAGCCUGGCCUUGAAUGUCACCACUAAACAGGUCCUUUUAUACCAACAUGCUUAACAAUUUGUUUGGUGCCAGCUACUUGCUCACUCCUUGGAAUUAUUCCAUGUCCUUGCUAAGAAGAAAGAUAAAAAAAAAAUGCAACUGGGCUUUGAGACACCUGAGAAAUUGGAUCAUCAGUGGAGCAGACUGGCAUAUGCAUCAUUGGUUAUAUUAUUUAGGCUCCAUUUGUCUGAAUCCUUUCUUCAAAUUCCCCUAAUUGAAUAUCAAUUUAAUUGCAU
Phascolarctos cinereus (koala) is the source of this 467-nucleotide long non-coding RNA. RefSeq lists it as uncharacterized. Lineage: Eukaryota; Metazoa; Chordata; Mammalia; Diprotodontia; Phascolarctidae. The record is from RefSeq and is a predicted model, not a curated record.